UGGGGAAUAUUGGACAAUGGGCGGAAGCCUGAUCCAGCCAUGCCACGUGAGUGAAGAAGGCCUUAGGGUUGUAAAGCUCUUUCAGUCGUGACGAUGAUGACGGUAGCGACAGAAGAAGCCCCGGCUAACUCCGUGCCAGCAGCCGCGGUAAUACGGAGGGGGCAAGCGUUGUUCGGAUUUACUGGGCGUAAAGGGCGCGUAGGCGGGGUAUCCAGUUAGGGGUGAAAGCCCGGGGCUCAACCUCGGAACUGCCUUUAAAACUGAUACUCUAGAGUCCGGAAGAGGGUCGCGGAAUUCCCAGUGUAGAGGUGAAAUUCGUAGAUAUUGGGUGGAACACCAGUGGCGAAAGCGGCUCUCUGGCUCGAUUCUGACGCUGAGGCGCGAAAGCGUGGGGAGCAAACAGGAUUAGAUACCCCGGUAGUCC
This 424-nucleotide ribosomal RNA is filed under the name uncultured prokaryote. RNAcentral's name for it is "bacterial SSU rRNA". It matches the Rfam family "Bacterial small subunit ribosomal RNA", at positions 355 to 796 of the family's 1533-position model. The record is from RNAcentral.